RNAcentral lists this ribosomal RNA (253 nucleotides) under uncultured bacterium. RNAcentral's name for it is "partial 16S ribosomal RNA". It matches the Rfam family "Bacterial small subunit ribosomal RNA", at positions 524 to 776 of the family's 1533-position model. The record is from RNAcentral.
UACGAAGGGGGCUAGCGUUGUUCGGAAUUACUGGGCGUAAAGCGCACGCAGGCGGACUGAUUAGUCAGGGGUGAAAUCCCGGGGCUUAACCCCGGAACUGCCUUUGAUACUGUCAGUCUCGAGUCCGGGAGAGGUGAGUGGAAUUCCUAGUGUAGAGGUGAAAUUCGUAGAUAUUAGGAAGAACACCAGUGGCGAAGGCGGCUCACUGGCCCGGUACUGACGCUCAGGUGCGAAAGCGUGGGGAGCAAACAGG